AACGUUUCUCAGGUUCCUGGGUGUGCUCAUUUACAUAGUCGGGAAGGACACAGGCCUGUGGCUUUUUCAACCUGCCAGCUCGACCCGGACCUGGUCCUCUCCAUCCGGGACCCUUUCACCGCAGUCUUCACAGGAUGGGACCUCAGCGACUCCACCGACUCCACCAUGAAGUCCCACCUGUUUCCUGAUCCGAAGCUUCUCGGCUGUGCGCGUUGCUUUACACCUCGGCACUUGAAUAUUCAUGCUCACCUUUAAAUGCAAUUAAAGCCAAGGUCACAAAAGGACAAAUUUGAAAGUUGAAACACACUCCCAAGUGCCUUGGGAGGCUGAGGCUGGAUGAUCACCAGUUUGAACUUAGCAAGAUCCCAUCUCAAAAGACACACACAAAAAAAGGUAAAGAGAGCUAGAGAGGUAGCUCAGUAGUCCCUGGGUUCAAUCGAUAAUACCAUGAAGCACAUGCACACACAGGCACGCAUGCACCAGCAACCAGCAAUCAGCAGAGGCACCACUGCUGGAACACUGUGAUGUUUCCGAUGUCUUGGGCCAGAGCUUUUUGUAUUUUGGAAUGGCAGGUAAGGGACUAUGGAUCUGUUCUACCAGGAAUCAGAAUGAAAAGACGGAACUGAGGUCCUUGAGCACCCACAGCCUGCGAGCGACAGACCAGAG
This 666-nucleotide long non-coding RNA is filed under the name Heterocephalus glaber (naked mole-rat). RNAcentral's name for it is "lncRNA (ENSHGLG00100035760.1)". The record is from RNAcentral. Lineage: Eukaryota; Metazoa; Chordata; Mammalia; Rodentia; Bathyergidae.